RNAcentral lists this transfer RNA (72 nucleotides) under Camelus bactrianus (Bactrian camel). It matches the Rfam family "tRNA". From Rfam's summary of the family: Transfer RNA (tRNA) molecules are approximately 80 nucleotides in length. Their secondary structure includes four short double-helical elements and three loops (D, anti-codon, and T loops). Further hydrogen bonds mediate the characteristic L-shaped molecular structure. tRNAs have two regions of fundamental functional importance: the anti-codon, which is responsible for specific mRNA codon recognition, and the 3' end, to which the tRNAs corresponding amino acid is attached (by aminoacyl-tRNA synthetases). tRNAs cope with the degeneracy of the genetic code in two manners: having more than one tRNA (with a specific anti-codon) for a particular amino acid; and 'wobble' base-pairing, i.e. permitting non-standard base-pairing at the 3rd anti-codon position. The record is from Rfam by way of RNAcentral. RNAcentral also lists the same sequence under 2 other names. Lineage: Eukaryota; Metazoa; Chordata; Mammalia; Artiodactyla; Camelidae.
GAGGGUAUAGCUCAGUGGUAGAGUGUAUGCUUAGCAUGCACAAGGUCCUGGGUUCAAUCCCCAGUACCUCUA